RNAcentral lists this ribosomal RNA (479 nucleotides) under uncultured bacterium. RNAcentral's name for it is "partial 16S ribosomal RNA". It matches the Rfam family "Bacterial small subunit ribosomal RNA", at positions 28 to 507 of the family's 1533-position model. The record is from RNAcentral.
GAUGAACGCUAGCGGGAGGCCUAACACAUGCCAGCCGAGCGGUAGAGUUUCUUCGGAAACUUGAGAGCGGCGCACGGGUGCGUAACACGUGUGCAACCUACCUUUAUCUGGGGGAUAGCCUUUCGAAAGGAAGAUUAAUACCCCAUAAUAUAAUGAUUGGCAUCAAUUAUUAUUGAAAACUCCGGUGGAUAGAGAUGGGCACGCGCAAGAUUAGAUAGUUGGUGAGGUAACGGCUCACCAAGUCAAUGAUCUUUAGGGGUCCUGAGAGGGAGAUCCCCCACACUGGUACUGAGACACGGACCAGACUCCUACGGGAGGCAGCAGUGAGGAAUAUUGGACAAUGGGUGAGAGCCUGAUCCAGCCAUCCCGCGUGAAGGAUGACGGUCCUAUGGAUUGUAAACUUCUUUUGUACAGGGAUAAACCUACCCUCGUGAGGGUAGCUGAAGGUACUGUACGAAUAAGCACCGGCUAACUCCGUG